GAUGAACGCUGGCGGCGUGCCUAAUACAUGCAAGUCGAGCGAACAGACGAGGAGCUUGCUCCUCUGACGUUAGCGGCGGACGGGUGAGUAACACGUGGAUAACCUACCUAUAAGACUGGGAUAACUUCGGGAAACCGGAGCUAAUACCGGAUAAUAUAUUGAACCGCAUGGUUCAAUAGUGAAAGACGGUUUUGCUGUCACUUAUAGAUGGAUCCGCGCCGCAUUAGCUAGUUCGUAAGGUAACGGCUUACCAAGGCAACGAUGCGUAGCCGACCUGAGAGGGUGAUAGGCCACACUGGAACUGAGACACGGUCCAGACUCCUACGGGAGGCAGCAGUAGGGAAUCUUCCGCAAUGGGCGAAAGCCUGACGGAGCAACGCCGCGUGAGUGAUGAAGGUCUUCGGAUCGUAAAACUCUGUUAUUAGGGAAGAACAAAUGUGUAAGUAACUAUGCACGUCUUGACGGUACCUAAUCAGAAAGCCACGGCUAACUACGUG
Molecule: ribosomal RNA, 497 nt
Filed under: uncultured bacterium
Lineage: Bacteria
Description: partial 16S ribosomal RNA
Rfam family: Bacterial small subunit ribosomal RNA
Source: RNAcentral